This 452-nucleotide long non-coding RNA is filed under the name Bos taurus (domestic cattle). RNAcentral describes it as "long non-coding RNA NONBTAT018861". Lineage: Eukaryota; Metazoa; Chordata; Mammalia; Artiodactyla; Bovidae. The record is from RNAcentral.
GGUCUAUUCCUAAUUUUAUUGUUAUCAUAAUCAAUUUUAACCUAUAUAAAGUUUACCUAUGGUACAGAAUAGUUAAGCAUAGAAAGUAAGACAACUUUGUUUUUAUAAGUUUCUGUGAUCAUUUUUACAAUCUUAACUAUAAACUAAAUACAAGUUAUAUGAACAGAUAUAUCAGUUUUCAGGACUUUUUUUUUUCAGGAUUUAUCCAACGUACUUAGUGAAAAAAAUGAUACAAAAUUAACAUGUAACAAAACUAUCUUUAUAUACACAGAAGUAUUUCUAGAUUGAAAAUGGAUAAAAGACAAUCAAUGAACACACUCCUCUAUGCUAUUAAUAAGCCUAUUCUACCUCCUUUAGGAUACUGUUCCAUCAAAUAUUGUCAUUUAUAUCCUCAUAUCAUUGAUCAUCCUCAUAUCAACACAAUAUAUAUCCUGUCAUAAAUAUGAUCAAUU